RNAcentral lists this long non-coding RNA (631 nucleotides) under Chloebia gouldiae (Gouldian finch). Its description in RNAcentral is "Erythrura gouldiae (Gouldian finch) lncRNA (ENSEGOG00005017803.1)". The record is from RNAcentral. Lineage: Eukaryota; Metazoa; Chordata; Aves; Passeriformes; Passeridae.
AGAUUCCCAAAAAUUCCCAAAUUUUGGCCUCCAAACCCGACUACGGAGAGAUCCUGGCCCAGCAGGGCCCGGCCCUGCGCUCCCUGCAGCUCCUGGUGGAUGAGGCCCAGCAGGCCGGGAAAAUGGUGCUGGAAUUCCACGAGGAGAGCAGGAGCUUCCUCAGGGACCUCUCGGAGCAGCUGGCUUCCCGAGCAUUCCGGAGGCUUCAGGGAUCCCCCGCUCGGAAGCUGCUGCAGAGGAGGCCCCAGAAGGUUCUGCCCGAGGAGGGGGAAUAAAAUAAAAAAAAAAAAGGAGGAAAAAAUCCCAAAAUCCCGAGGUUUUCCCUCAAAAUAUUCCCGUUUUGUUUGUUUUUGGUUUUUUUUUGGGGGGGGGGGAUUUUUGGAGCGGCAUUUCCGGGUUUGGGGGCGGGGCGAGGGUGGUGAUUGGUUGGUGCGGGUGUCAAUCAGAGAGAUCAGCCAAUCACGGCGUGGGGUGGGGGGGCAACAUCUGGAAGGGGGAGCCCGAGGUCGGGGUGGGGCCAUCAACAUCUGGAUGGGGACCUGGAAAUCCAGGUGAGGACCCCAACAUCUGGAUGGGGAUCUCAUGGUUUGGGGGGGACCCCAACAUCUGGAAUGGGGACUUUGAAAUCCGG